UACUGCAGUCGAGCGCGGGAGCAGACUGAAUCCUUCGGGAGGAUGUCUGUGGAACGAGCGGCGGACGGGUGAGUAACACGUGGGCAACCUGCCUGUAAGACUGGGAUAACUCCGGGAAACCGGGGCUAAUACCGGAUAACUCAACGAACCGCAUGGUUCGGUGUUAAAAGAUGGCUUCUGCUAUUACUUACAGAUGGGCCCGCGGCGCAUUAGCUAGUUGGUGAGGUAACGGCUCACCAAGGCCACGAUGCGUAGCCGACCUGAGAGGGUGAUCGGCCACACUGGGACUGAGACACGGCCCAGACUCCUACGGGAGGCAGCAGUAGGGAAUCAUCCGCAAUGGACGAAAGUCUGACGGUGCAACGCCGCGUGAGUGAUGAAGGUUUUCGGAUCGUAAAACUCUGUUGUUAGGGAAGAACACGUGCUGUUCGAAUAGGGCAGUGCCUUGACGGUACCUAACCAGAAAGCCACGGCUAACUACGUGCC
Molecule: ribosomal RNA, 486 nt
Filed under: Bacillus sp. ISO7(2015)
Lineage: Bacteria; Bacillati; Bacillota; Bacilli; Caryophanales; Bacillaceae
Description: bacterial SSU rRNA
Rfam family: Bacterial small subunit ribosomal RNA
Source: RNAcentral